UUCAGAAGCAGAGGAAAGUUAGAGAUGAGUGGUGGUGCCAGCACUCACCCUCUGGACUCUGGAGCUGUGUGAAAGUAGAGGUUCUUGCCAGAUCCUGCAUUAAGACUGCAUGUACAAUACAGCCAAAGUGUUGGGUUUUACAGACUGAAAGAUGCUGCCUGAUGCUACCAUUUCCCUGUGCACUGUUUCCCAGACUCCCAGUGGGCAAUGUCAUUAUCAGACCUGUGGGCAGCCAUCAAUCACCUUAUGAUCUCCAAGUCAUGGAUCACUGCUGUUAGGAUCUUACUAGAUUGUGCUAAAGAAAAACACUGAAAUUCUUUGAAAGAGAUGACAUUUUACCUGGAGAAAGAUAAUACAAUAAAGGAAGCUAUCAACAACAAUAAAUGGGCAAAGAAUACACUUCUGAAACAAAAUCUAACAAGAAGAAUGCAGAGCUCUUUUAAACAAUGCAGGCUACUGGAUUAUGUUUUCUUAUUUAUGUAGUGUGUUAUUUGUUUUUUCUUACUUAACCCAAAUGCUUUCAAGGGUAUUAAUAUCUAGGAGAAUUAAACCAUCUGUUCCUUCCUCUAUUGCAUCUAGAAGGCAAUACAAUCUAUUUGCAUCAUUAAAAACA
This is a long non-coding RNA of Alligator sinensis (Chinese alligator), 613 nucleotides long. RefSeq lists it as uncharacterized. The transcript has 3 exons. Lineage: Eukaryota; Metazoa; Chordata; Crocodylia; Alligatoridae. The record is from RefSeq and is a predicted model, not a curated record.